GAUGAACGCUAGAUACAGGCUUAACACAUGCAAGUCGAGGGGAAACGAUAUUGGAAGCUUGCUUCCGAUAGGCGUCGACCGGCGCACGGGUGAGUAACGCGUAUCCAACCUGCCCACCACUUGGGGAUAACCUUGCGAAAGUAAGACUAAUACCCAACGAUAUCUCUAGAAGACAUCUGAAGGAGAUUAAAGAUUCAUCGGUGAUGGAUGGGGAUGCGUCUGAUUAGCUUGUUGGCGGGGUAACGGCCCACCAAGGCGACGAUCAGUAGGGGUUCUGAGAGGAAGGUCCCCCACAUUGGAACUGAGACACGGUCCAAACUCCUACGGGAGGCAGCAGUGAGGAAUAUUGGUCAAUGGGCGAGAGCCUGAACCAGCCAAGUAGCGUGCAGGAUGACGGCCCUAUGGGUUGUAAACUGCUUUUAUAAGGGAAUAAAGUGAGUCUCGUGAGACUUUUUGCAUGUACCUUAUGAAUAAGGACCGGCUAAUUCCGUGCCAGCAGCCGCGGUAA
RNAcentral lists this ribosomal RNA (508 nucleotides) under uncultured bacterium. RNAcentral's name for it is "partial 16S ribosomal RNA". It matches the Rfam family "Bacterial small subunit ribosomal RNA", at positions 28 to 523 of the family's 1533-position model. The record is from RNAcentral.